UACGAAGGGGGCUAGCGUUGUUCGGAAUUACUGGGCGUAAAGCGCGUGUAGGCGGGUCUUUAAGUCAGGGGUGAAAUGCCAAGGCUCAACCUUGGAACUGCCUUUGAUACUGGAGAUCUUGAGUCCGGGAGAGGUGAGUGGAACUGCGAGUGUAGAGGUGAAAUUCGUAGAUAUUCGCAAGAACACCAGUGGCGAAGGCGGCCGACUGGUCCGGUUCUGACGCUGAGGCGCGAAAGCGUGGGGAGCAAACAGG
Molecule: ribosomal RNA, 253 nt
Filed under: uncultured bacterium
Lineage: Bacteria
Description: partial 16S ribosomal RNA
Rfam family: Bacterial small subunit ribosomal RNA
Source: RNAcentral